Molecule: long non-coding RNA, 2224 nt
Organism: Zootoca vivipara (common lizard)
Lineage: Eukaryota; Metazoa; Chordata; Lepidosauria; Squamata; Lacertidae
Source: RefSeq, a predicted model, not a curated record
UGUAACAUAGCUGCAGAGGGAAAUAAGAUCUAUGGAGUGCUUAUAAAGAGAAGCAGUGUGUACUUUGGGCUGAUAUGCUCUGAGAAAAGUCUGGUUGAUCUUCUCCGGCAAAGACUGGAAUACUGGGAAACAGUUCCUAGGAGUUCCCAACAGAACAUCAGCCUUUGACCUGCCAUGACUAUGAAGACCUGGUACCUUCCUGCUCUUUUUCUUCUCCUUGUCUCGGUGCUCUUUUUUGAUCCAAGUUUUGCUGACCCAGCAAGUGAAAAAUUAUGUCAUAUCUUGAAUGGCUAUUGUGAGAAUGAAGUGAGGUGCCGACCCAAAUAUGUGGCUUAUGGUAUCUGUAAUGAGAAGAGAAUUUGCUGCAUAAGCCAGAAGGAUAUGCAAGUCAGAAAGCAUCAACAUGCCGGAAGUUCUCAUAAAUGUCCCAUAGAGUCUGAUUGCCCCAACAAACAUUUGCAUGUUGAACCCGCCAUGGUGAAGACUCGUGGUCCUUGAAAGAAAUAACUGAGCCUUCUAUGGGAAAAGGUGUGUUGUUCUGUUACACAUGUUACUUGAAAUAAAGCAUAAAAACAAAACAAAAGAGAAACCCUACUUAGUCAAAGGGCAGUAGUUGUUGUUGUUUAGUCGUUUAGUCGUGUCCAACUCUUCGUGACCCCAUGGACCAUAGCACGCCAGGCACUCCUGUCUUCCACUGCCUCCCGCAGUUUGGUCAGACUCAUGUUGGUAGCUUCAAGAACACUGUCCAACCAUCUCAUCGUCUGUCGUCCCCUUCUCAUUGUACCCUCAAUCUUUCCCAGCAUCAGGGUCUUUUCCACGGAGUCGUCUCUGCUCAUGAGGUGGCCAAAGUAUUGGGGCCUCAGCUUCAGGAUCUGUCCUUCCAGUGAGCACUCAGGUCUGAUUUCCUUCAGAAUGGAUGAGUUUGAUCUUGCAGUCCAUGGGACUCUCAAGAGUCUCCUCCAGCACCAUAAUUCAAAAGCAUCAAUUCUUCGGCGAUCAGCAGUUAUGCUGAACCAAAUCACUGAUUCAAAUCGAUUCAAAUCACCACAUCGCACAGAAAAUGGGCUGCCAGUUGCAAAACUUGUCAGAUUGGUAAUUAGGCUUGCCAUGUGUCCUCUUUUUCCAAGACACGUCCUCUUUUUCAGGGGUAACAUUUCUGUCCAGGUAGAUUUUUAAAAUUUGCCAAAAUGUCUCUGGCUGUAUUUUCUGGAUGGGACAUAGACAUAACUGGUAGUUCAAGACUUCCUCUUCUCUUGCCCCCCUCAGCAAUAUACGAUAGUGUCUAUAGCCUACAUAUUGUAGGGGGCAUAUAAAAUGAGAGUUAGAAUCAUAGAAUCAUAGAGUUGGAAGAGACCACAAGGACCAUCCAGUCCAACUCCCUGCUAAGCAGGAAACACCAUCAAAGCAUUCCUGACAGAUGGCUGUCAAGCCUCCGCUUAAAGUUGUCUUGGCAUCCUCUCUUUUUUGCACUUCAAAAUAAGGCAGCCCUAGUUUAGAAGCGCUGUCAGGAUGUGAGUAAUUUCGUUGUUCCUGCAAGGGGACAAUGACAAUAAAGAUAUCUUAUCUUGUAGAGGUGUGUGGUGUGUUUGAGGAAUCUGGUGUAUGUUUGUCUGUGAGAAAGCGAAGGGAGAAAGGAGAAAGAAGGGAAAGGAGUAUAAAGGUGCUGGAGACAUACAUUUUCAGGCAUUUUACUCAUUUGCCACCAGCUUUGGCCACAAACAUGCAUGUGGCCCCUGACCACUUCCCACGAAGAAAAAUACUAGCCUCAAACUCUAACAGCUAGACCACCCUUGAUUUUUGCUCAGAAACGUACUGGGAGCCAAUGUAGGUCUCUUAGGACUGGUGUUAUGUGGUCUUGGCGGCUGCUCCCAGUCACCAGUCUAGCUGCCGCAUUCUGGAUUAAUUGCAGUUUCCGGGUCACCUUCAAAGGUAGCCCCACGUAGAGCGCAUUGCAGUAAUCCAAGCGGGAGAUGACCAGAGCAUGCACCACUCUGGUGAGACAGUCCAUCCUCAUGAAAUUUCACCAGCAUUUUAUUGAACAUUUUUCAGGACACGUACAUUUUUAGAUUUUACCUUUGAUGGCUUAUAAACCUAUAUUUUAAAAUGUGUUAGGGACAAUCAUGCAACUUUGUAUUGCCCUUUUCAAAUGUAAAAUGUGACGCAAUAAAUAUUUUCCCCUUGAACUAUUGUUGUUGUUGUUGUUUGUCAAAUAGCAGGAAACAAC